CGGUUUGAAAGAGAGCCAAGCUCGGGUGGGUGUGCAACACGAAGGUUGCGAGGCUGAGAGUUCAGGAGUUGGCAUAGUAGUGCUCGCCCCAUUUAGAAAACACACUGCUCCAUUCAAUAAGGGAAAGAAUGCAAGCGUUUUUGACAAAAGCCAAGCACCCCAAUCGGGUGAGGAUGCGUAGGAGGCAAGGUUCAGGUUAGGGACGCCAAAAGCGAACGCAAUCGACCGAAGGCCGCACCACCAGCUGCCGAAUCACUCGCCCGUCACCCUUACUACCGCACCACCAGCUACCUAACCGACCCGCAGGGACCCCCAGCCGUCAACUGGUGCCCACGCGCUGCCGGACCACGAGCCGCCGGUGCCGCCGCCCCACUCGCGCCGCGCCGGAACUACAACCCUUCGCACCGAACACCACCAGCCGACCGACGUCGCCGUCAAGUCCACCAGGACCGCCGCCGUGAUACUCAUCACGAGCGCCGCCUUGACCUAGUUGGCACUGGUGAAGCAAGGUAGGUGGCCGGCCGACGGUGCCAACGAACGAGGUCAUGCACAACCACUCAAGUCAUAUCUAGAGAAGUUACGGAGGAGAUACCUACCCAACUACGGAACAUAAAGAAAACGGGGGUUUAGGGAUUAACCUAUCUCUAGAGAUAAAUUUGAGGCUCAGACUUCAGGGUGAGAUUAGUAACAAUACAAGAGAGAAGUGACAAACUUUCACCGUUAGAAGACCGUUAACCAACGGAGACUGAACAACAAUGUUUAACACAUAACAACACAAGUAUCGGACAACGUAAAACGUGAUACUAACCUUACACUUUAUAAACUGCCGUAACUUGUCAAUCAGUGAACGGUAGAAUCUGUAUCUGUCAAGACAAAACCCGUUCAACGAGUGUCGUCUGUCAACAAACUAAUUAAAAGAUUGGAUUAAUUAUGGUUACCCUAAUACACUACACCUCCAUAGAAUAUAUAGACAGGUUCUCGAGCGGAGCCGUAGGAGUGCUUGAGCUCUAGGGCUCAUUCUCUCGAAAGGGGUUACACACGUCGAUAACGAGUCGUACAUUUCUUCGAUUAACAACAAUUAUGUUAGUUAUAAAAACGACUAAAAAAACCCUCCCGUUUAGUAAUGCCGCGACUCGUCUACAGGUUAAACUAGAUAACUUCACCUAGUGCCAAGGAGGAAAUGACUACUUACAGCGUACAUCGGUGAUCUGAACCUGAGUUUACCUGCGGGACGGUCCUCUCGUGGCACCUCUUCUCGCGGUUCCACUUCCCCGUCAGGAACGUGUCUAACCACCGUCAAAGGCCCUGGACUUUGUGGGUGUAUAGCACAAAACUAAAGAACAAACUUUGAUGACCCGCAGGUAUAAUGAUUGUGAAGUGGUAGGUCACUUCUUACCCACCUGUUGAGAUUAUACUAAUUACAGUAGAAGGAACCCCGAAAAAAAAUGGUGACGGUAUCUGUUCACAAAUAAAUCAAGUACCAGUAUAAAUAAAUCAAGCACCGACUACCCUCGUACUCAUGGAAAGUUUGAUGACAAGGAGAAAAGCAGAAAUAUCAAAAACAACGAAUGUAAAACGGUACGUAGACACAGUCUCUUUGUACUGUGUCUUCAGUCCUCCUCGUUACUAUACACAUGUACAGUAACAACAGGUUCAAGACCUUGAAAAGGUGAUUAGCAACGACUUUGAUCCCAGUAGAUCUGCUCCCCUAACAUUUCCGAUUGAUCUUUAUGUAGAAACUUCUUUGAUAUCCCAGUAGGUCUACCCCUAAAACGUUGGAGAUAUGUUUACGGACGUCGAACCGGUCUGAUAACGGGUAGAGUUCUAACUGACCUCACAAGAUGAUGUCUUUCUAUCAAAAAAAAAUCUACGAUGAAACAGUUCGUCACAUAACUUAAACAACAUUUAACUGGAUCAAUACUUGAGUGUAGUAGAAACAAGUAACAUUUGGCUGGAUCAAUACAGUACUUUAGGUUC
RNAcentral lists this ribosomal RNA (1977 nucleotides) under Triticum aestivum (bread wheat). RNAcentral's name for it is "partial small subunit ribosomal RNA". The record is from RNAcentral. Lineage: Eukaryota; Viridiplantae; Streptophyta; Magnoliopsida; Poales; Poaceae.